AUUGAACGCUGGCGGCGGGGCCUAACACAUGCAAGUCGAGCGGGGGUUUUUCGGACCUAGCGGCGGACGGGUGAGUAAUGCGUAGGAAGCUGCCCGAUAGAGGGGGGAUACCAGUUGGAAACGACUGUUAAUACCGCAUAAUGUCUACGGACCAAAGUGCGGGACCUUCGGGCCACAUGCUAUCGGAUGCGCCUACGUGG
This 200-nucleotide ribosomal RNA is filed under the name uncultured bacterium. RNAcentral describes it as "partial 16S ribosomal RNA". It matches the Rfam family "Bacterial small subunit ribosomal RNA", at positions 30 to 238 of the family's 1533-position model. The record is from RNAcentral.